CCUUCGAAGUCAACUGACGUCACGCUUCCAAGAAAAGCUUCUAGGGUUAAUUUAAUAAGUGCCCGUACCGAUAACCGACACAGGUAGGCGAGGAGAGAAUCCUAAGAUGAGCGAGAGAACUCUUGUUAAGGAACUCGGCAAAAUGACCCCGUAACUUCGGGAGAAGGGGUGCUUGUGAAAGCAAGCCGCAGUGAAUAGGCCCAGGCGACUGUUUAUCAAAAACACAGGUCUCUGCUAAACCGCAAGGUGAUGUAUAGGGGCUGACGCCUGCCCGGUCUGGAAGGUUAAGAGGAGAGGUUAGCGCAAGCGAAGCUUUGAAUUGAAGCCCCAGUAAACGGCGGCCGUAACAAUAACGGUCCUAAGGUAGCGAAAUUCCUUGUCGGGUAAGUUCCGACCCGCACGAAAGGCGUAACGAUCUGGGCACUGUCUCAACAAGAGACUCGGUGAAAUCAUAGUACCUGUGAAGAUGCAGGUUACCCGCGACAGGACGGAAAGACCCCGUGGAGCUUUACUGUAGCUUGAUAUUGAGCACUGGUGGCACAUGUACAGGAUAGGUAGGAGACGAAGAAACCAGGACGCCAGUCUUGGUGGAGUCGCUGUUGGGAUACUACCCUUGUGUCCCUGGGGUUCUAACCCGUGGCCCUUAUCGGGUCAGGGAACAGUGUCAGGUGGGCAGUUUGACUGGGGCGGUCGCCUCCCAAAGAGUAACGGAGGCGCCCAAAGGUUCCCUCAGAAUGGUUGGAAAUCAUUCGAAGAGUGUAAAGGCAGAAGGGAGCUUGACUGCGAGACCUACAAGUCGAGCAGGGACGAAAGUCGGGCUUAGUGAUCCGGCGGUACCGAAUGGAAGGGCCGUCGCUCAACGGAUAAAAGCUACCCCGGGGAUAACAGGCUGAUCUCCCCCAAGAGUUCACAUCGACGGGGAGGUUUGGCACCUCGAUGUCGGCUCAUCGCAUCCUGGGGCUGUAGUCGGUCCCAAGGGUUGGGCUGUUCGCCCAUUAAAGCGGUACGCGAGCUGGGUUCAGAACGUCGUGAGACAGUUCGGUCCCUAUCCGUCGUGGGCGUAGGAAAUUUGAGAGGAGCUGUCCUUAGUACGAGAGGACCGGGAUGGACACACCGCUGGUGUACCAGUUGUUCUGCCAGGAGCAUAGCUGGGUAGCUACGUGUGGACGGGAUAAACGCUGAAAGCAUCUAAGCGUGAAGCCCCCCUCAAGAUGAGAUUUCCCAUUCGAAAGAAGUAAGAUCCCUUGAAGACGACGAGGUUGAUAGGUCAGGAGUGGAAGUGUGGUGACACAUGGAGCGGACAGAUACUAAUCGAUCGAGGACUUAACCAA
RNAcentral lists this ribosomal RNA (1331 nucleotides) under metagenome. RNAcentral describes it as "bacterial LSU rRNA". It matches the Rfam family "Bacterial large subunit ribosomal RNA", at positions 1581 to 2925 of the family's 2925-position model. The record is from RNAcentral.